This is a non-coding RNA of Acanthosepion pharaonis, 107 nucleotides long. The record is from the annotation of a GenBank genome assembly. NCBI's taxonomy places the organism in Eukaryota, Metazoa, Mollusca, Cephalopoda, Sepiida, Sepiidae.
ACAGCCACAUCACAUUGAAACACUAGUUCUCAUAUAAUCACUGAAGUUAAGCAAUAUUGAGUCUGGUUAGUACCUAGAUUGGUGACUGCUUGAGAAUACCAGGGGCU